AACGAACGCUGGCGGCAGGCCUAACACAUGCAAGUCGAGCGAGGACUUCGGUUCUAGCGGCGGACGGGUGAGUAACGCGUGGGAAUGUGCCCUUCUCUACGGAAUAGCCCUGGGAAACUGGGAGUAAUACCGUAUACGCCCUAUUGGGGAAAGAUUUAUCGGAGAAGGAUCAGCCCGCGUUGGAUUAGGUAGUUGGUGGGGUAAUGGCCUACCAAGCCGACGAUCCAUAGCUGGUUUGAGAGGAUGAUCAGCCACACUGGGACUGAGACACGGCCCAGACUCCUACGGGAGGCAGCAGUGGGGAAUCUUAGACAAUGGGGGCAACCCUGAUCUAGCCAUGCCGCGUGAGUGAUGAAGGCCUUAGGGUUGUAAAGCUCUUUCAGCUGGGAAGAUAAUGACGGUACCAGCAGAAGAAGACCCGGCUAACUCCGUG
This 433-nucleotide ribosomal RNA is filed under the name uncultured bacterium. RNAcentral's name for it is "partial 16S ribosomal RNA". It matches the Rfam family "Bacterial small subunit ribosomal RNA", at positions 29 to 507 of the family's 1533-position model. The record is from RNAcentral.